GUGGCUUUUUUCGUGCUUUCACUAUCCUUAUCUGCCAAUAAUUUGGAGAGUUCACUUUCAUUCAGCGAAGCAAAUCUGCUGUAGGCCAUUGUUUGUUUGUUUUUUUUCGCGCGCUUAUAGGUUCAAGCUUUUGGCCGCGCAAGGGUUUGGGCACGAGAGAGUCCAAUAAUUUUUAUUUUGGAUGCAAGUUCGAUCCAAAAAAACAAUUAUUGGACGCUGAUGACGUCAUCGGCGGAAAAUACGUAAUAAAUGCCGAAUACUGAAAAUUAGCCGGUGCUUUCUGACCAAUUAGAAACGAGAAUACAUAUUAAAUGUAUAAUAAAAUAUUUAUAAACUGGUCGUUGAGCAAGAUCGUGACUCUAUUUUUAUGACCAUUCGGACCAGAUGAAACUAGACUUAAGGGGUCACUUUUUUAGAUACCCUGUAAUUUAAUUUCUUACCAAACUCCUGAGGUUUAUAAGUGAAUUCAAUAGCGGCACUCCUCUCCUUAUCGCUCUUCCGUCGUAGUUCCAGUUGUACCUGGACAGGUUUUUCAAUGGCAGUAUUCCAAUAUUCCGGAGUUUUGAACACAAUAGCAAACU
This is a non-coding RNA of Paramuricea clavata, 581 nucleotides long. The record is from the annotation of a GenBank genome assembly. Lineage: Eukaryota; Metazoa; Cnidaria; Anthozoa; Malacalcyonacea; Plexauridae.